AAUUAUAACGGAGACCACUGUCACGGGACCGAGAAACCGUGAAGCAUGCUCAUAGGUGUGCACGUACGCACGUAGACAUAUAAAUCGCUCCUUUCUUCGAAUUUGAUUCGGAAACACGGAGACCAAUUUCGAUAGUACCUACCAAACGAGUCUGUGUACAUGCGCGCACGUGUGUGUGCAGUUUAACCGUUAUACAUUGGCAAUACUGUAGUCAAUGGAUUAUACGUAUACAUUAAAUUCUAACCAUUAUAAUAAAUGCGGUCUGUUUAGCAGAUAUUAAAAUACUAUUGUUAUUAAAAUCUAAUUACCAAUUGGUAUCAGUGAUCAAAUGCGGAAAAAAUUUUAUACGAUUAAAUAAAAAGUAGAAAAAGUGAAUAUUUUCGUAUAAAAUAAUCUAUGGAUAAGGAAAAAGAGAAAAAAAAAAGAUAGAACCGAAGGUCGGAAAGGAAGUAAUCACCAAACGCAAACUCAAUUAUCAAGUUCGUUUUCCUUGAUCAAAGUAGAAGCGGAAGUUGUCGGAACGUUGGAGAUAAGCGGGCUAAAUCGUCGACAUGGUUACGGUACACCUGACCUCGUCAUCUUUCCUUCUCAGUUCCUCUGACCCUUAGCCGCAACUAAUAACUCGCUCUUUUUCUUUUCCCGAGGAACUACAAACUAAUCUACGACACAGGCGUGCGCGCUCGUUCUCACACACACACACACACACACACACACACACACACACACACACACACACUCGUGAUCGCGGAUAUGCUAUUGCCUCGAGGGAAAUAUUCCGCUUGCGUGAUUCUCUUAGUCGGUCGAUCGUUCGACCUGGAAAGAUCGAUCAUAUCGUAGAUCUUAAGACAACUGUUCAAUCAGUAAAAAAUAAUAGUCAUCUAUAUAAAAAUGGGAAUAAAAAGAGGAAAUUCUUUAAGGAUACAUUAGGACGAGACUUGAUCAUCCCGGUUGGAAGAGGAGGCUAGGUUUAAGCAACUCUGUGGAAGUUGCGGGCAGGGUCGGUUGGCCCGAGGGCGGCGGCAACUAUUAUAAACUGUAGCACCUCGAACUACCGCCUCCGGUCCCUCUUCUCCCACCCAUCUCCUCCUCUCUUCUUCCUCAUGCUUCCACUCUUCCUACCCCCGGUUACUCUCCUGCUCGCCACCUCCUCUUCCUUCCUGGACAACCCCACUAUUGCACCGUUCACCGUCUACGUUCGCUUCGAACGCUCGACUCGCCGUCUCCACACCGCCCCCAAAUAACCCAAGGGUCCUGCCGAACUAAACCCACCCCCUACAACUCAGCCCGGUCUCUCUACGAGUAGCCUCUCUCUUCUACGUCGUACCCUCUAAUCAAUCAACCCCCAGGCAUUUCAGCCGGUCCGCGCCAGGGAUCGCGGCUUUGUCAGUCUUUAGAGAGACGUCUCUCUAUCUCCAAGAAUGAGAGAGAGAGAGAGAGAGAGAGAGAGUAUACGGCUAGUACCGAAGCGUUAACCUUACUACGUUACUAUUUCCGUUACGAGUCUAGAGUUCUCUUGAAGCUUUGCUCAGCAACAUUGCUGUUGCGGAAUCUCUUUGAGGCAGUCCGAGUUCAAGAUUAAAAGCUCCAGAGUACACGGCGACCCAGUUACGCGAUAUCGAUACUCAAGGCCUUUGACCGGACUUCCCUACCGAAUCCUUGCCUCUUAAGACAAAAAAAUCCUACCUAAUCUCUGUAAAUUCAACUUAAAGAAUGAUAUGUCGAUCUUAAAGAAUUUUGGCUUAUCAGAAAAUGAUGCACUUAGGAGGAGAUUCUUUGUGGUAGCAGUCGAUAACAGGCACAGUGUAGUUAAUAGGUAAUUAUCACGGUGCGAUUUUGCUCGGCAGCCAAUUCCAUUCAUUUCCUCGAUAUCUUGGGAGCAGCGACCGCUUGUCAUCCAUUGGCUUUCACGAUCGUGUGUGCGUAUCUACGUAAUGUUCGAAUAUCUGCCCUUUUCUCAUUCCUACUCUCCACUGUUAGCAGCUCAUCGACGCGAAACAUAGUUGCAAGAGGAAAUGGAGUAAUUAUAAGGAAAUAACAGGCGUCGCCCAUGUGGUAGAUUAGCAUUGAAACCUUUGACGGGAAUCGCAUUCUCUCGGACGUAUUGGCACGCAUGCUUUAUCUUCUAAUUAUUAGAAUCUUCUUACACUACUCGAACUACAUCGUAAUUUCUACAUCGUAACGCAAUCGAAUCGAAUGGUAAAGGAAGAGAAAGAGGAAUUAAUAAUUCUCCUUCAUUACUAUUCUCCAUAAUACGAAAUACUUAUACUAUUCAUUAAGUUAUAUAGAGUUAAUCUUUAAUUUAUUAUAAUUAUUUCCACAUUCUUUAUCACAAUAAUAUAAAUCAAUAUUGUAAACGUCAUUUCAAAAAUGUUUCCCAAUGAUCUGGUGAUGAUAGAAGUUACUCUUAAACAAAUCCAAGAAGAUUAAUUGUAAGCAGAGAAAAUAAAAAUAAAUACUAGAUU
This 2462-nucleotide long non-coding RNA is filed under the name Polistes fuscatus (common paper wasp). RNAcentral describes it as "uncharacterized LOC122523278". The record is from RNAcentral. Lineage: Eukaryota; Metazoa; Arthropoda; Insecta; Hymenoptera; Vespidae.